Molecule: ribosomal RNA, 786 nt
Filed under: Xanthoparmelia sp.
Lineage: Eukaryota; Fungi; Ascomycota; Lecanoromycetes; Lecanorales; Parmeliaceae
Description: SSU rRNA
Rfam family: Bacterial small subunit ribosomal RNA
Source: RNAcentral
GUAUAGCAAUAGCUACUUGCAUCAUAGUAGAUAUGAUGCAAGAUCGACUAUGUUGAAUAAAAUUCUAGGUAGAAUUAUGAUAAUGACAUUGUCUGCCUAUGUGUCUUGACCAAAUUACGUGCCAGCAGUCGCGGUAAUACGUAGAAGACUAGUGUUAUUCAUGUUUAAUCGGUUUAAAGGGUACCUAGACGGUAGAUCAAGCUUUCUAAUAAAGGAAAAGGACUAAUUUACUAGAGUUACUUAUGAGGGGGUAUUAAAGUACUGCUGGUGUAGAGAUGAAAUUCUGUCAUACCUCUUUUCAAAAGAAAAACCAUGGCACAGGUAUAGGCGAAGGCAUCCCCUUAUGUGAUAACUGACGUUGAGGGACGAAGGCUUUGUGUAGCGAACAGGAUUAGAUACCCCAGUAGUCGAAGCAGAAAAUGAUGAAUGUCAUAGAUUAGAUAUAUAAGUUUAUUCUAUAAAUGAAAGUGUAAGCAUUCCACCUCAUGAGUAAUUUGGCAACAUUGGAACUGAAAUCAUUAGACCGUUUCUGAAACCAGUAGUGAAGUAUGUUGUUUAAUUUGAUGAUCCGCAAAAAACCUUACCACAAUUUGAAUAUUUAUAUUCUUUAUUGUUUUAUUAUUAAUUUUCUUGAACGUAAAAAUCACGUAAAAGUAUAUUUACAAGCGUUGCACGGCUGUCUUCAGUUAAUGUCGCGAGACUUUGGUUAGUUCCAUUAAAUUAACGUAAACCCUUACUUUAUUUUUAUAUAGAGUAGUUCCCCGCUAUAUUGGAUAUGAUAACAGG